This 76-nucleotide transfer RNA is filed under the name bioreactor metagenome. RNAcentral's name for it is "tRNA-Thr". It matches the Rfam family "tRNA". From Rfam's summary of the family: Transfer RNA (tRNA) molecules are approximately 80 nucleotides in length. Their secondary structure includes four short double-helical elements and three loops (D, anti-codon, and T loops). Further hydrogen bonds mediate the characteristic L-shaped molecular structure. tRNAs have two regions of fundamental functional importance: the anti-codon, which is responsible for specific mRNA codon recognition, and the 3' end, to which the tRNAs corresponding amino acid is attached (by aminoacyl-tRNA synthetases). tRNAs cope with the degeneracy of the genetic code in two manners: having more than one tRNA (with a specific anti-codon) for a particular amino acid; and 'wobble' base-pairing, i.e. permitting non-standard base-pairing at the 3rd anti-codon position. The record is from RNAcentral.
GCUCUCAUAGCUCAGACGGCAGAGCGCGUCCUUGGUAAGGACGAGGUCACCAGUUCGAAUCUGGUUGAGAGCUCCA